Molecule: ribosomal RNA, 492 nt
Filed under: Paenibacillaceae bacterium CL5.61
Lineage: Bacteria; Bacillati; Bacillota; Bacilli; Caryophanales; Paenibacillaceae
Description: bacterial SSU rRNA
Rfam family: Bacterial small subunit ribosomal RNA
Source: RNAcentral
CCCUGGCUCAGGACGAACGCUGGCGGCGUGCCUAAUACAUGCAAGUCGAGCGGAUUUAUCCUUCGGGAUAAGUUAGCGGCGGACGGGUGAGUAACACGUAGGUAACCUGCCUAUAAGAUCGGGAUAACUAUCGGAAACGAUAGCUAAGACCGGAUAAUUGGUUUUCUCGCAUGAGAGAAUUAUGAAACACGGAGCAAUCUGUGGCUUAUAGAUGGGCCUGCGGCGCAUUAGCUAGUUGGUAGGGUAACGGCCUACCAAGGCGACGAUGCGUAGCCGACCUGAGAGGGUGAACGGCCACACUGGGACUGAGACACGGCCCAGACUCCUACGGGAGGCAGCAGUAGGGAAUCUUCCGCAAUGGACGCAAGUCUGACGGAGCAACGCCGCGUGAGUGAUGAAGGUUUUCGGAUCGUAAAGCUCUGUUGCCCUAGACGAACAGCAAGAGGAGUAACUGCCUUUUGUGUGACGGUAUAGGAGAAGAAAGCCCCGGCU